UGCUCGCGGUGUUGAGUAGGCCACGAUGGUAUAUUCAAACACCGCAAUUGAUCAACGCAUGAGAUGUUAUUACACGGUUUUGGUUAUGUGCUUAAAAUUAACAUUAAAUUAGUUGUUUCGCAUAUAGGUGAGAUGUUAUGUGCUUAAAAUUAACGUUACAUUAGUUGUGUCAUACCUAUAUUUAUACAACAAUAAAACGUGCCUAAUAUAUGUAACAAUACAUGAAAAAUAAUUUACCUACAAGUUAGAGAAGUGUUAUUUGAUUCAAAAUAUAUAAUAUGGAUUUAGUAUAAUUUUUUUUAAUAAUUGGAACAAAUUAAUUGUAACAUCCCACAUCAUCCAGGAGAAUGGAUCCUGUAAGCCUUAUAUGUAUAUUCCCAUCUCUACCUAGCACGAGGCCUUUUGGGAGCUCAUUGGCUU
This 420-nucleotide long non-coding RNA is filed under the name Malus domestica (apple). Its description in RNAcentral is "long non-coding RNA (MDOM_LNC008563)". Lineage: Eukaryota; Viridiplantae; Streptophyta; Magnoliopsida; Rosales; Rosaceae. The record is from RNAcentral.